Molecule: ribosomal RNA, 497 nt
Filed under: uncultured bacterium
Lineage: Bacteria
Description: bacterial SSU rRNA
Rfam family: Bacterial small subunit ribosomal RNA
Source: RNAcentral
UGCUUAACACAUGCAAGUCGAAACGUCGAAAGGGAACUUCGGUCCUGAGUAAAGUAGGCGCACGGGUGAGUAACGCGUAGAUAACCUGUCUUCAUGUCUGGAAUAAUACGCCGAAAGGGGUACUAAUACCGGAUAUCUUGCUUUUCAUAAGUUAUGCAAGCAAAGGUGGCCUCUGCAUAUGCUACUGCAUGAAGAGGGGUCUGCGUACCAUUAGCUAGUAGGUGGGGUAAUGGCCUACCUAGGCGACGAUGGUUAGCGGGUCUGAGAGGAUGAUCCGCCACACUGGCACUGGAACACGGGCCAGACUCCUACGGGAGGCAGCAGUGAGGAAUAUUGCGCAAUGGGGGAAACCCUGACGCAGCGACGCCGCGUGAGUGAGGAAAGGCCUUCGGGUCGUAAAGCUCUGUCAAGAGGAAAGAAGUGUACAAUGGCUAAUACCUGUUGUAUUUGACGGUACCUCUAAAGGAAGCACCGGCUAACUCUGUGCCAGCAGCCGC